UCCCUGGUGGUCCAGUGGCUAAGACUCUGUGCUUCCAGUGCAGGGGUGUAGGGGACACAGGUUCAAUCCCUGGUCAGGGAA
This 81-nucleotide transfer RNA is filed under the name Ovis aries (sheep). It matches the Rfam family "tRNA". From Rfam's summary of the family: Transfer RNA (tRNA) molecules are approximately 80 nucleotides in length. The record is from Rfam by way of RNAcentral. Lineage: Eukaryota; Metazoa; Chordata; Mammalia; Artiodactyla; Bovidae.